RNAcentral lists this ribosomal RNA (532 nucleotides) under Filobasidium stepposum. RNAcentral describes it as "LSU rRNA". It matches the Rfam family "Eukaryotic large subunit ribosomal RNA", at positions 56 to 599 of the family's 3401-position model. Lineage: Eukaryota; Fungi; Basidiomycota; Tremellomycetes; Filobasidiales; Filobasidiaceae. The record is from RNAcentral.
AAGAACUAACAGGAUUCCCUAGUACGGCGAGUGAAGCGGGAAGAGCUCAAAUUUGAAAUCUGGUGGCCUCAGGUCAUCCGAGUUGUAAUCUAUAGAAGUGUUUUCCGUGCUGGCUCAUGUACAAGUCCCUUGGAACAGGGCGUCAUAGAGGGUGAGAAUCCCGUCCUUGACAUGAACUACCAGUGCUCUGUGAUACAUUUUCAACGAGUCGAGUUGUUUGGGAAUGCAGCUCAAAAUGGGUGGUAAAUUCCAUCUAAAGCUAAAUAUUGGCGAGAGACCGAUAGCGAACAAGUACCGUGAGGGAAAGAUGAAAAGCACUUUGGAAAGAGAGUUAAACAGUAUGUGAAAUUGUUAAAAGGGAAACGAUUGAAGUCAGUCGUGCUCUUUGGAUUCAGCCGGUUCUGCCGGUGUACUUCCUUUGAGUGGGGUCAACAUCAGUUUUGAUCGCUGGAUAAAGGCUGGAGGAACGUAGCACCCCCGGGUGAACUUAUAGCCUCCUGUCACAUACAGUGGUUGGGACUGAGGAACGCAG